GGGGAUGUGGCUUAAGUCGUAGAGUGCUUGCCUAGCAUGCAUGAGGCCCUGGGUUCAAUCCUCAGCACUACA
This 72-nucleotide transfer RNA is filed under the name Marmota monax (woodchuck). Its description in RNAcentral is "tRNA.Ala". The stretch from base 6 to 67 matches the Rfam family "tRNA", at positions 6 to 65 of the family's 71-position model. From Rfam's summary of the family: Transfer RNA (tRNA) molecules are approximately 80 nucleotides in length. Their secondary structure includes four short double-helical elements and three loops (D, anti-codon, and T loops). Lineage: Eukaryota; Metazoa; Chordata; Mammalia; Rodentia; Sciuridae. The record is from RNAcentral.